RNAcentral lists this ribosomal RNA (433 nucleotides) under uncultured bacterium. RNAcentral's name for it is "partial 16S ribosomal RNA". It matches the Rfam family "Bacterial small subunit ribosomal RNA", at positions 29 to 507 of the family's 1533-position model. The record is from RNAcentral.
AACGAACGCUGGCGGCAUGCCUAACACAUGCAAGUCGAACGAGACCUUCGGGUCUAGUGGCGCACGGGUGCGUAACGCGUGGGAACCUGCCCUUAGGUUCGGAAUAACUCCCCGAAAGGGGUGCUAAUACCGGAUAAUGUCUUCGGACCAAAGAUUUAUCGCCUUUGGAUGGGCCCGCGUUGGUUUAGCUAGUUGGUAGGGUACAAGCCUACCAAGGCGACGAUCCAUAGCUGGUCUGAGAGGAUGAUCAGCCACACUGGGACUGAGACACGGCCCAGACUCCUACGGGAAGCAGCAGAUGGUAAUAUUGGACAAUGGGCGAAAGCCUGAUCCAGCAAUGCCGCGUGAGUGAUGAAGGCCUUAGGGUUGUAAAGCUCUUUUACCCGGGAUGAUAAUGACAGUACCGGGAGAAUAAGCUCCGGCUAACUCCGUG